CCGUAGACCCGGAAGGGCGCGGGCCCUAGUGGCGGACGGGUGAGUAACGCGUGGGGAACCUGCCCCGUACCGGGGGAUAACACCUGGAAACAGGUGCUAAUACCGCAUAACAGAAGGGGACGCAUGUUUCUUUCUUGAAAACUCCGGUGGUACGGGAUGGACCCGCGUCUGAUUAGCUGGUUGGCGGGGUAACGGCCCACCAAGGCGACGAUCAGUAGCUGGCCUGAGAGGGCGGACGGCCACAUUGGGACUGAGACACGGCCCAAACUCCUACGGGAGGCAGCAG
Molecule: ribosomal RNA, 286 nt
Filed under: uncultured bacterium
Lineage: Bacteria
Description: partial 16S ribosomal RNA
Rfam family: Bacterial small subunit ribosomal RNA
Source: RNAcentral